Molecule: ribosomal RNA, 253 nt
Filed under: Anaerostipes hadrus ATCC 29173 = JCM 17467
Lineage: Bacteria; Bacillati; Bacillota; Clostridia; Lachnospirales; Lachnospiraceae
Description: Anaerostipes hadrus DSM 3319 partial 16S ribosomal RNA
Rfam family: Bacterial small subunit ribosomal RNA
Source: RNAcentral
UACGUAGGGGGCAAGCGUUAUCCGGAAUUACUGGGUGUAAAGGGUGCGUAGGUGGUAUGGCAAGUCAGAAGUGAAAACCCAGAGCUUAACUCUGGGACUGCUUUUGAAACUGUCAGACUGGAGUGCAGGAGAGGUAAGCGGAAUUCCUAGUGUAGCGGUGAAAUGCGUAGAUAUUAGGAGGAACAUCAGUGGCGAAGGCGGCUUACUGGACUGAAACUGACACUGAGGCACGAAAGCGUGGGGAGCAAACAGG